GGAGUUGAGAAGACGGUCGCGUUCCGGCUCAAUGCCUGAAUGAGGAAAGUCCGAACUCCGCAGGGCAGGCCGCCUCGUAACGCGAGGAAUCAGCAAUGAUUGGAAAGUGCCACAGAAAACAAACUAUCCGUCCGUUUCCGGGAGGGGACUCCCGGGAAUAGUCGGAUACAGGUGAAAAGGCGAGGUAAAAGCUCACCGGGUCUGCCGAGAGGCAGGCCGCUUGGUAAACCCCGGUCGGAGCAAUGCAAAACUGAGAGACCGCCCCGGCGGUGAAUCCGGCCCGGAUUCCAUUCUCAAGGUAGCAGCAGGAUUUCGGAAGCGAUUCCGGAACCAGAUAAAUGACCGUCCCCCGUCAUGUCUUCGGAUAUGCCGGGAGAACAGAAUUCGGCUUACUAUCAACUCCGGAU
Molecule: RNase P RNA, 407 nt
Filed under: Fidelibacterota bacterium
Lineage: Bacteria; Pseudomonadati; Fidelibacterota
Description: Candidatus Marinimicrobia bacterium RNase P RNA component class A
Rfam family: Bacterial RNase P class A
About the family: Ribonuclease P (RNase P) is a ubiquitous endoribonuclease, found in archaea, bacteria and eukarya as well as chloroplasts and mitochondria. Its best characterised activity is the generation of mature 5'-ends of tRNAs by cleaving the 5'-leader elements of precursor-tRNAs.
Source: RNAcentral